Long non-coding RNA from Photinus pyralis (common eastern firefly), 414 nucleotides. RefSeq lists it as uncharacterized. The record is from RefSeq and is a predicted model, not a curated record. The transcript is spliced from 2 exons. NCBI's taxonomy places the organism in Eukaryota, Metazoa, Arthropoda, Insecta, Coleoptera, Lampyridae.
UACGUCAAAAUUUUGCAAUGAGGUAGGUACACACGCCAAAUCUUCAGUUUCUUUACUACUGUACGGCAAGCACAUCUUACAAAAGUAUGAAGCAUCUUUACGUAUUAUCUUCAUUGGUGAUGCUGCUGGGAUUUACGGUUCACGUAGCCAGUGACCUCGAGGCAGAACUCACUCUGGGGUGUACAUUAUCUUGCCCUUUAUGGGGUAUAUGCCUAACUGCAGCUUUGAUAUUAGGAAAUGAUUGCGGAAACGAGCCUCGCGGUUGUGUGUGCACAAAAUUAACAGUGUAUCAAAACGAAGAAUGAGAAAUGCACGAAUUAUAGGGUGACAGGGUCUCAUAUCUUCGUCGCUAUUCUAUUUGGUAGUAAUGUAGCUAUGCAUAAGUGUGUAAUUAAAUAUAAGAAAUGCUAAGGA